GAAAGUUAAGAAACUGUUUCUUAUCUUUUAACUAAAAAAGCUAAGAACCGGUUCUUAAAGUCUUUAUUUAAGAACCGGUUCUUAGCUUUUUUAGUUAAAAGUUAAUAAACAGUUUCUUAACUUCC
This 125-nucleotide microRNA precursor is filed under the name Brassica carinata (Ethiopian mustard). RNAcentral's name for it is "MIR9563 microRNA precursor family". It matches the Rfam family "MIR9563 microRNA precursor family". RNAcentral also lists the same sequence under 1 other name. Lineage: Eukaryota; Viridiplantae; Streptophyta; Magnoliopsida; Brassicales; Brassicaceae. The record is from Rfam by way of RNAcentral.